CUCGUAGGCGGUUCGUCGCGUCCGGUGUGAAAGUCCAUCGCCUAACGGUGGAUCUGCGCCGGGUACGGGCGGGCUGGAGUGCGGUAGGGGAGACUGGAAUUCCCGGUGUAACGGUGGAAUGUGUAGAUAUCGGGAAGAACACCAAUGGCGAAGGCAGGUCUCUGGGCCGUCACUGACGCUGAGGAGCGAAAGCGUGGGGAGCGAACA
RNAcentral lists this ribosomal RNA (207 nucleotides) under uncultured bacterium. RNAcentral describes it as "partial 16S ribosomal RNA". It matches the Rfam family "Bacterial small subunit ribosomal RNA", at positions 568 to 774 of the family's 1533-position model. The record is from RNAcentral.